RNAcentral lists this ribosomal RNA (406 nucleotides) under uncultured bacterium. RNAcentral describes it as "partial 16S ribosomal RNA". It matches the Rfam family "Bacterial small subunit ribosomal RNA", at positions 30 to 526 of the family's 1533-position model. The record is from RNAcentral.
AUUGAACGCUGGCGGCAGGCCUAACACAUGCAAGUCGAGCGAGUGGCGGACGGGUGAGUAAUGUAUGGGGAACUGCCCGAUAGAGGGGGAUAACUACUGGAAACGGUGGCUAAUACCGCAUACUAUCGGAUGAACCCAUAUGGGAUUAGCUAGUAGGUGGGGUAAAGGCUCACCUAGGCGACGAUCCCUAGCUGGUCUGAGAGGAUUACCAGCCACACUGGACCUGAGACACGGUCCAGACGCCUACGGGAGGCAGCAGUGGGGAAUAUUGCACAAUGGGCGCAAGCCUGAUGCAGCCAUGCCGCGUGUAUGAAGAAGGCCUUAGGGUUGUAAAGUACUUUCAGCGGGGAGGCGUUACCCGCAGAAGAAGCACCGGCUAACUCCGUGCCAGCAGCCGCGGUAAUAC